UGCGCCACCGCCUGGAUCAACCGUGCCUCCCACGCGUCUCUCCUGGAGGAUUCCCGACAGCAGCUCCGCCCUGCCUAGCGGAGGAGGCUAGAUGUUCAAGCUCUCCCCAGAUCUACCUUCGGGGUGAACAGGCUGCGUUGGUGAGGGUAUGGCUUGGAAUUAGUUAGAUCCUUGGGUCCACAACAGCCUCACCAGUUUUGUCUCUCACAACCUUUGAACUGUUGGAGAUCCGGGCUCGGAACCCUGGGAACACGCGUGCGCAGUACGUCCUGUUCAGCCACCCUGGGGGCCGUGGACGGUCGAACCACCUGAAUAUCCUCCUGGGUGCAGGGGGCCUCCCUCCCAGUAUGACCUGAUGAUGCACCUGCAAAGGCACUAUGGCAAGGCAGUGUAUGCCUCCUCUUCUUGGGAAGUUCUCAUGGCAGUGAUGGGACUUGAAGAAGACAUCUGACAGCUUCGGGGACAAGGAGAAACACAGACAUCAUUACCUGCAGACCCCUUGAGUUUUCUUCCAGUUCCUGAGGGCUGUGGGAUUCGGGACGGGAAGCAUCUGAAAGACGAUUUCAAAGGAAGCAGAUGACACUUGCACGGGACUGCAUUUUGGUCUAUGCUCAAAGUGAUGAAGUUGAUUUGCAUCAUUCUGCCACUAACGCUGAAGCGUCCUGCUCCUGGAAACCCCCGCCAGAGAUGCGGAGUUUAC
Long non-coding RNA from Prionailurus viverrinus (fishing cat), 700 nucleotides. RefSeq lists it as uncharacterized. Lineage: Eukaryota; Metazoa; Chordata; Mammalia; Carnivora; Felidae. The transcript has 3 exons. The record is from RefSeq and is a predicted model, not a curated record.